CGGGGGGGGCAAGCGUUGUUCGGAAUUACUGGGCGUAAAGCGCGCGUAGGUGGUUUGUUAAGUUGGAUGUGAAAGCCCCGGGCUCAACCUGGGAACUGCAUUCAAAACUGACAAGCUAGAGUAUGGUAGAGGGUGGUGGAAUUUCCUGUGUAGCGGUGAAAUGCGUAGAUAUAGGAAGGAACACCAGUGGCGAAGGCGACCACCUGGACUGAUACUGACACUGAGGUGCGAAAGCGUGGGGAGCAAACAGG
RNAcentral lists this ribosomal RNA (251 nucleotides) under uncultured Pseudomonas sp. Its description in RNAcentral is "partial 16S ribosomal RNA". It matches the Rfam family "Bacterial small subunit ribosomal RNA", at positions 526 to 776 of the family's 1533-position model. The record is from RNAcentral. Lineage: Bacteria; Pseudomonadati; Pseudomonadota; Gammaproteobacteria; Pseudomonadales; Pseudomonadaceae.